Long non-coding RNA from Solanum pennellii, 552 nucleotides. RefSeq lists it as uncharacterized. The transcript has 2 exons. The record is from RefSeq and is a predicted model, not a curated record. Lineage: Eukaryota; Viridiplantae; Streptophyta; Magnoliopsida; Solanales; Solanaceae.
AUUUUUUAAAAGUGAUUCUUAGGGCACAAAAUAUUUACACUCACACUCACACUUUUCAGAGAUGGAGCUCAGAAACUCCAAUCCUCCAUCUCUAAAACUCCAUCUCGAAGCUGGUAAUACUCGAAGCUUGCAAGCAAGUUUCCAUGUCGAAGCUCCGAAGCAAGUCCCAAUCAAGAAAGGAAUUGGUUGAGCUUCAAAGCUGGAAGCUCAAAAUGCAACAUAAUUUACUGAUGUCCUUCAUCGGUAAGUGUCUACAGACGACAUUUGCAGCAGCUUCAGUUUACUAUCUACUGUGGAUGAAAAUUUUAUACUCAAUCUAUAGGUGUACAUUUAGGAUUUUUGUCAAGAGUCGUGGUGACAUGCUGAGAAUUAUUUUGUGUUGCAUCUGUUGGAAUGUUUAUGAACUCAAUCUAUAUGAACAACAAAUAUUUAUUAUGUGUUGCUUCUGUUAGAAUUAACUGAUCUUUCUUUACUAUAGUAAGAAACUAUGAAACAGAUUGGAGUGAAUUUCAUUUAAUAUUCAGGGUUCUAGCACGUAGCCUUUGCUAUUGA